RNAcentral lists this ribosomal RNA (406 nucleotides) under uncultured bacterium. RNAcentral describes it as "partial 16S ribosomal RNA". It matches the Rfam family "Bacterial small subunit ribosomal RNA", at positions 30 to 526 of the family's 1533-position model. The record is from RNAcentral.
AUUGAACGCUGGCGGCAGGCCUAACACAUGCAAGUCGAACGAGUGGCGGACGGGUGAGUAAUGUCUGGGAAACUGCCUGAUGGCGGGGGAUAACUACUGGAAACGGUAGCUAAUACCGCAUACCAUCAGAUGUACCCAGAUGGGAUUAGCUAGUUGGUGGGGUAACGUCUCACAAAGGCGACGAUCCCUAGCUGGUCUGAGAGGAAUACCAGCCACAUGUGAACUGAGACACGGUCCAGACGCCUCCGGGAGGCAGCAGUGGGGAAUAUUGCACAAUGGGCGCAAGCCUGAUGCAGCCAUGCCGCGUGUAUGAAGAAGGCCUUCGGGUUGUAAAGUACUUUCCGCGGGGAGGCGUUACCCGCAGAAGAAGCACCGGCUAACUCCGUGCCAGCAGCCGCGGUAAUUC